UUAUAAAAUGAAGUAAAACUAAGAUAAUUAUAAGAGAAGGAAGACUAAGAGAAAAUAGAAUUUUUGACUUUCCAAGUGUUUUAAAUAUCACAUAUUUUAUCUCUAUUUAUAGGCAUAUAUGAGAAGAUAAAGGGUUUAUAAUUAAUGGAUUAUAUAAAGAAGUGCGUAAGUUGAAGAGUAGUAUAUUGAACUUAUGGAGAGAAGUGAAGAGUUAAUCAUUUUAAUGGACAUUCACCAUAAAUAUAUUCAUAAAACUCUCUUUUAGAUGUCCACACAUUAAUAAAAUAAUGUUUCGUUAAAACCUUACUAGAAAAAAAACGUGGAAAAAAAAUCAUAGUAAAG
This 342-nucleotide unclassified non-coding RNA is filed under the name Hevea brasiliensis (rubber tree). The record is from RNAcentral. Lineage: Eukaryota; Viridiplantae; Streptophyta; Magnoliopsida; Malpighiales; Euphorbiaceae.